UCUCUUCCAUUUCAUUUCAAUUUUUUUUUUCUCCUCAUCGAUUUCUGUUGCUGUUACCGAAACUCUUGCCCUAAACCUCAUCACUUUGUUUUUUUUUUUUUCUUUCUUCUUCUGCACUGCUUCUGGUUUCCGGUGUGCGUGUGCUGUCUGCUGCAUCACAGUUUCUCUCCAGUUUUGUGUUUCGAUUUUCCCUCUGCAACACGGCGUGCAUCGCUCCGCAGCCUCCAUCUUCCGACUGUUUCUGUUUCUUGCCCUGGGUUUUGAGUGUACGUUUUGUCGGUUUUUGAGUUUGUCACUCGUGUAAUCGUUGAAGCCUUUGCUGGAAUUCUUGUUGCCGUGGGUGACGAGACGGAUAGAAACCGUAUUCAAGUCAUA
Molecule: long non-coding RNA, 375 nt
Organism: Juglans regia (Persian walnut)
Lineage: Eukaryota; Viridiplantae; Streptophyta; Magnoliopsida; Fagales; Juglandaceae
Exons: 3
Source: RefSeq, a predicted model, not a curated record